Molecule: ribosomal RNA, 550 nt
Filed under: uncultured bacterium
Lineage: Bacteria
Description: bacterial SSU rRNA
Rfam family: Bacterial small subunit ribosomal RNA
Source: RNAcentral
UAGGGAAUCUUCGGCAAUGGACGGAAGUCUGACCGAGCAACGCCGCGUGAGUGAAGAAGGUUUUCGGAUCGUAAAGCUCUGUUGUAAGAGAAGAACGAGUGUGAGAGUGGAAAGUUCACACUGUGACGGUAUCUUACCAGAAAGGGACGGCUAACUACGUGCCAGCAGCCGCGGUAAUACGUAGGCCCCGAGCGUUGUCCGGAUUUAUUGGGCGUAAAGCGAGCGCAGGCGGUUAGAUAAGUCUGAAGUUAAAGGCUGUGGCUUAACCAUAGUACGCUUUGGAAACUGUUUAACUUGAGUGCAAGAGGGGAGAGUGGAAUUCCAUGUGUAGCGGUGAAAUGCGUAGAUAUAUGGAGGAACACCGGUGGCGAAAGCGGCUCUCUGGCUUGUAACUGACGCUGAGGCUCGAAAGCGUGGGGAGCAAACAGGAUUAGAUACCCUGGUAGUCCACGCCGUAAACGAUGAGUGCUAGGUGUUAGACCCUUUCCGGGGUUUAGUGCCGUAGCUAACGCAUUAAGCACUCCGCCUGGGGAGUACGACCGCAAGGUUG